Molecule: ribosomal RNA, 253 nt
Filed under: uncultured bacterium
Lineage: Bacteria
Description: partial 16S ribosomal RNA
Rfam family: Bacterial small subunit ribosomal RNA
Source: RNAcentral
UACGAAGGGGGCUAGCGUUGUUCGGAUUUACUGGGCGUAAAGCGCACGUAGGCGGAUCGUUAAGUCGGGGGUGAAAUCCUGGAGCUCAACUCCAGAACUGCCUUCGAUACUGGCGAUCUCGAGUCCGGAAGAGGUGAGUGGAACUCCUAGUGUAGAGGUGGAAUUCGUAGAUAUUAGGAAGAACACCAGUGGCGAAGGCGACUCACUGGUCCGGUACUGACGCUGAGGAGCGAAAGCGUGGGUAGCGAACAGG